This is a long non-coding RNA of Girardinichthys multiradiatus, 2085 nucleotides long. RefSeq lists it as uncharacterized. The record is from RefSeq and is a predicted model, not a curated record. The transcript has 4 exons. NCBI's taxonomy places the organism in Eukaryota, Metazoa, Chordata, Actinopteri, Cyprinodontiformes, Goodeidae.
GUCUCUCACUCCCUCUGCCUCUCCAGCUCGCUGUCUUCAGUAGGCUCUACCCCUCUCACUCUCUUUCUGACAUCUCUUGUCUUAUUCUAGCCUCCGCUUCAUUCCUCAAGCCCCCCUCGGACAUGCUCACCGAGAAGAGUGCUGAUCCUCUGCCUCACCAUCCACGGGUUUUCUCAGGUACAAUCAAGCGCAGUUGAAAGUCAGCAGCUGAAGCAUGCCUGACAGCAUCACAUACGGAUCCAUUCAUUCAGACAAAAAUCAAAAAAAAAAAAAACGAGACACAUAAAGCUUUUUUUUUUCUGUUUCAGAGGACAGAGGAGGUGGCGGUGGAAGCUGCUCCGCGAUUUUGUCCGAAAGCGCUUUGAAACAUCUGCUGAGGAGCAAGUCAUUCAGUCAGCAUGGGCGCGCACGCGUGACACAGCGCGCCGUUCACCACUACACGUGAGUGUUUAUCCGCGCGUGCGUGAAUCGAUGAGAUACGCGCUUGAUUGGGUCUCCCUUGUUUGUAAUAAUGUACAUGAGGAGGAGGAGGCGGUGGAGGAGGAUCAGGCUGCUUCCAGGCAGCGCUCGGAUCAGCCGAGCAUCCGCGCCAAACACUUUGCUGGCUGCCGGUGCUGCUUUUCUUUUCUCUCCGUCUUUUUUUCUUCCUUUACGUAGGCAGACAUGAGCUGUUUAAAUCAGCUACGCAGCGAAUCAGACGCGUCUCCCCCAGCGGUGCGCUGCGCUCUCAAAAUGACCGAAGAGGCGCAAAACGUUCCUGACUUAAAUGAGACGGAGAAAAGUUUUUUUUUAUUAUUAUGAUUAUAGUUAUUUACAGGCAGUCUUCGGAGUAACAAUGGAUCUAAGUUUUUUGUGGAGGUUACAGAGGAACAAGGAAGGCUGAUGCAAAGCUGUAUGAAACAGCUCAUUUGGACAUAAGCUGAAAGCAACCUGGUGCUGGGGUGUGAGACACACACAGUUACAACUCACUUUUUCAACAGGCCAAACACUGCACCUCCGCACAUUAAGUAAAAGUUUUACUCCUCUACUUCCACAAAAUUCAGCCAGUCUGCCUCACGCACUCACAUUUUACGCUACAUCAACCAUCACUUUGUCUGACAGACAUAUAAAUGUAUGUCUUCAUACUCAUGCAGAGACCAACUUUCUUACAUCUCACAUCAGAUUACCUCAGAUUCACACACAUUUAAAAUGAUCCCACAUCAAUGUUAUCUUUUAGGCUGAGGGAGAAAAGGUGCUGCUGGGAGUGAGAGUGCUUGACAGGGGAUGAGAAGAAGUACACAGGAAGUACAUUAGUUAUCACUCCUCUGUCUUUUCCACCUUUUCAGUUCUCAUCACCACCUGACGUCUCAGACUCGGCACGAGCCACCAUCUCUUCCCUUGCCGACCCUGUUCUUUUCUCUUUCCAUGUCUUGCUAUCUCACACACAUGCCUUUAAAAAUGACUUUCAUGCUUCAUUUUAAUGUCGGGCCUUGAGAUGUAGGUGACACUUGGCAAACUGCGGACGCUGCAAGACAUUGGGAUUAAAAAUGUAAUGAAAUACAACAAAGUAAAAUAAAAACUGGAAAAGAAAAGAACAAAUGGAAAGCAUUUUGGUAGAUUGGAAUAUCAUUGAAUAUGGGUAAUUUAAUUCGAAAUGUGAAAUUCAAAUAUGCAAUUGUUACACACAGAGAGAUGUAUUUCAAGCUGUUCUCUCUUUUAAUUGUUAUUAUUGUAGCUGACCCCAAAUCAAGGCACAACAUUAUUUUUCUAAGAAAAGUAUUACAUAAUAAAAAAGCAUGCAUAAGCAGCAGGGACAACUACAGCUAUGAUAGCAUUAUAAAGGAAAGCACCUUCAAGAAUUUGGGGAAGAUUCACCAGGUGUGGACUGUGGCAGGAGUUGGUGCUUCAAGAACCACCUCACACAGACAUAUUCAUUUGAGUUGUAACUGUUAAAUUAAUGGUGUAAGGCCACUUCUGACCCAAAGAUAAUGUCAGAAGCGUUUUAAAUGUCACACUGUUUCCUAUCUUGCUGGCUGUAUUGGCAUAUUGAAAGACAUGUUACGUCAGUCUAAACAUCAAGAAAUAAAUAGCUUCUUGACGGACAAA